Capsicum annuum is the source of this 107-nucleotide non-coding RNA. The record is from Rfam. NCBI's taxonomy places the organism in Eukaryota, Viridiplantae, Streptophyta, Magnoliopsida, Solanales, Solanaceae.
UAUUGGUGAUGUAGACAGUCCCUGAGAAGAGACUUAAAUCUCUCCUAUGCAUGAUAGAGAUUCUCAUCAGGGUUUUAAUUAAAACUCAGGAUCUCAUUCCUCAACCU